GGAAGGAUCAUUACCGAGUGAGGGCCCCUCUGGGUCCAACCUCCCACCCGUGUAUAACGAACCCUUGUUGCUUCGGCGGGCCCGCCGUAUGGCCGCCGGGGGGCACCUGCCCCCGGGCCCGCGCCCGCCGAAGACACCUGUGAACGCUGUCUGAAGUUGCAGUCUGAGACAACUAGCUAAAUUAGUUAAAACUUUCAACAACGGAUCUCUUGGUUCCGGCAUCGAUGAAGAACGCAGCGAAAUGCGAUAAUUAAUGUGAAUUGCAGAAUUCAGUGAAUCAUCGAGUCUUUGAACGCACAUUGCGCCCUCUGGUAUUCCGGAGGGCAUGCCUGUCCGAGCGUCAUUGCUGCCCUCAAGCACGGCUUGUGUGUUGGGCCCCCGUCCCCCGCCCACGGGGGACGGGCCCGAAAGGCAGCGGCGGCACCGCGUCCGGUCCUCGAGCGUAUGGGGCUUCGUCACCCGCUCUUGCAGGCCCGGCCGGCGCCAGCCGACCCCCCUCAACCAAACUUUUUCAGGUUGACCUCGGAUCAGGUAGGGAUACCCGCUGAACUUAAGCAUAUCAAUAAGCGGAGGAAAAGAAACCAACAGGGAUUGCCCCAGUAACGGCGAGUGAAGCGGCAAGAGCUCAAAUUUGAAAGCUGGCCCCCUCGGGGUCCGCAUUGUAAUUUGCAGAGGAUGCUUCGGGAGCGGUCCCCAUCUAAGUGCCCUGGAACGGGCCGUCAUAGAGGGUGAGAAUCCCGUAUGGGAUGGGGUGCCCGCGCCCGUGUGAAGCUCCUUCGACGAGUCGAGUUGUUUGGGAAUGCAGCUCUAAAUGGGUGGUAAAUUUCAUCUAAAGCUAAAUAUUGGCCGGAGACCGAUAGCGCACAAGUAGAGUGAUCGAAAGAUGAAAAGCACUUUGAAAAGAGAGUUAAACAGCACGUGAAAUUGUUGAAAGGGAAGCGCUUGCGACCAGACUCGCCCACGGGGUUCAGCCGGCAUUCGUGCCGGUGUACUUCCCCGCGGGCGGGCCAGCGUCGGUUUGGGCGGCCGGUCAAAGGCCCCUGGAAUGUAACGCCUCUCGGGGCGUCUUAUAGCCAGGGGUGCCAUGCGGCCUGCCCGGACCGAGGAACGCGCUUCGGCUCGGACGCUGGCAUAAUGGUCGUAAGCGACCCGUCUUGAAACACGGACCAAGGAGUCUAACAUCUACGCGAGUGUUCGGGUGUCAAACCCGUGCGCGCAGUGAAAGCGAACGGAGGUGGGAACCCUUUGGGUGCACCAUCGACCGAUCCUGAUGUCUUCGGAUGGAUUUGAGUAAGAGCGUAGCUGUUGGGACCCGAAAGAUGGUGAACUAUGCCUGAAUAGGGCGAAGCCAGAGGAAACUCUGGUGGAGGCUCGCAGCGGUUCUGACGUGCAAAUCGAUCGUCAAAUUUGGGUAUAGGGGCGAAAGACUAAUCGAACCAUCUAGUAGCUGGUUCCUGC
RNAcentral lists this unclassified non-coding RNA (1458 nucleotides) under uncultured fungus. RNAcentral describes it as "sequence contains 18S rRNA gene, ITS1, 5.8S rRNA gene, ITS2, 28S rRNA gene". The stretch from base 518 to 1458 matches the Rfam family "Eukaryotic large subunit ribosomal RNA", at positions 1 to 961 of the family's 3401-position model. Lineage: Eukaryota; Fungi. The record is from RNAcentral.